AGAGUUUGAUCCUGGCUCAGGAUGAACGCUGGCGGCGUGCUUAACACAUGCAAGUCGAGCGAUAAUUGUAUUCCGGAGGCUUCGGCCGAAGGAAUACAAGGAAAGCGGCGGACGGGUGAGUAACGCGUGGGUAACCUGCCUUAUACAGGGGGAUAACAUAUUGAAAAGUAUGCUAAUACCGCAUAAGCGCACAAGGUCGCAUGGUCUAGUGUGAAAAGCCGAGACGGUAUAAGAUGGACCCGCGUCUGAUUAGCUAGUAGGUGAGGUAAUGGCUCACCUAGGCAACGAUCAGUAGCCGACCUGAGAGGGUGAUCGGCCACAUUGGGACUGAGACACGGCCCAAACUCCUACGGGAGGCAGCAGUGGGGAAUAUUGCACAAUGGAGGAAACUCUGAUGCAGCGACGCCGCGUGAAGGAAGAAGGUUUUCGGAUCGUAAACUUCUAUCAGCAGGGACGAUAAUGACGGUACCUGACUAAGAAGCCCCGGCUAACUACGUGCCAGCAGCCGCGGUAAUACGUAGGGGGCAAGCGUUAUCCGGAAUUACUGGGUGUAAAGGGUGCGUAGGCGGUAAUGUAAGUCAGGUGUGAAAGCCCGAAGCUCAACUUCGGGAUUGCACUUGAAACUACAUAACUAGAGUACAGGAGAGGUGAGUGGAAUUCCUAGUGUAGCGGUGAAAUGCGUAGAUAUUAGGAGGAACACCAGUGGCGAAGGCGACUCACUGGACUGUAACUGACGCUGAGGCACGAAAGCGUGGGGAGCGAACAGGAUUAGAUACCCUGGUAGUCCACGCUGUAAACGAUGAAUGCUAGGUGUUGGAGGUAUCGACUCAGUCGUGCAGUUAACGCAAUAAGUAAUCCGCCUGGGGAGUAUGCACGCAAGUGUGAAACUCAAAGGAAUUGACGGGGGCCCGCACAAGCGGUGGAGCAUGUGGUUUAAUUCGAUGAUACGCGAGGAACCUUACCAAGUCUUGACAUCCCUCUGACCGGUCCGUAACGGGACCUUUGCUUCGGGGCAGGGGUGACAGGUGGUGCAUGGUUGUCGUCAGCUCGUGUCGUGAGAUGUCGGGUUAAGUCCCGCAACGAGCGCAACCCUUAUCGUUAGUUGCCAGCGGAUCAUGCCGGGGACUCUAGCGAGACUGCCACCGUAAGGUGAGAGGAAGGUGGGGAUGACGUCAAAUCAGCACGGCCCUUAUGUCCAGGGCGACACACGUGCUACAAUGGCAAGUACAAAGGGCAGCUACCGGGUGACCGGAUGCGAAUCUUUAAAAUUGGUCUCAGUUCGGAUCGGAGUCUGCAACUCGACUCCGUGAAGCUGGAUUCGCUAGUAAUCGCAUAUCAGCCAUGGCGCGGUGAAUACGUUCCCGGGCCUUGUACACACCGCCCGUCAAGCCAUGGAAGUUGGGGGUGCCUAAAGUUCGUGACCGCAAGGAGCGACCUAGGGUAAAACCAAUGACUGGGGCUAAGUCGUAACAAG
This 1474-nucleotide ribosomal RNA is filed under the name uncultured bacterium. RNAcentral's name for it is "16S ribosomal RNA". It matches the Rfam family "Bacterial small subunit ribosomal RNA". The record is from RNAcentral.